GUUCCAGCCCAACACUUUAUUCCAAAGUAGUAAAGUGUGUAUCACUUAAGAAUAGCUAUUUUCCCAUAUAAGAAUGAUCAAUAUCCCACCUAAGGAAUUUAACAUUGAUAGAGUAAAAUUUAUUUUCUGUCUGUUUUGUGGUACUGGAGAUCAACCCAGGGAUGCUCUACCACUGAACUACAUCUACCACUGAACUACAUUUUUAUUUUUUUAUUUUGAGACAGGGUCUUACUAGGUUGCUUAGGGCUUCACUAAGUUGCAGAGGCUGGCCCUGAACUUGUGAUCCUCCUGCUUUAGCCUCCUGAGUCACUGGGACUACCCACACCAAGCAUUUAUGAUUUCCCGAUCACAACAUUCCUCUGUAUUUAUUAGAUAACAUUUUUUUCUGUAAAAUUUCUUACCCUGACCAUUUUUCUUAGUUGCAUUCCAUGGUUUAUACUGCCCUGCCUUCUUUUUGCUUUCUGGUGCUCACAUUAACCCAGAGUUGGAGGGUGAAACCCCUGCAGGCUGGUUCCCGUGUCCUUCAGACGUACAUAGUCCUGCCAGUUAUUCCUCUUGGGUGGGAAGUGCUUCACAGUCACCUAGCCUUGUCCUUGCUCCAGAGUCGUAAUCCUACCACUUCUCCAAAAGCAUAGGUUCCUUCUCAGUGGGGAAUGUAUUUACAAAUUAAGAUCUAGAUGCCAGGUUAGCUCAGUGCUACUGAGGGCAUUGCUUUCAGGCCUUUGCAGUGGACAGAGCUGGGACAUGGUGGUGGUGGUGUUGUAGUUUUGGAACUGGGGAUUGAACUCGGGGGCACCUGACCACUGAGCCACAUCCCCAGCCCUCACUAGGAGUAGCUUAGUGCCUUACUUUUGCUGAGGCUGGCUUUGAACUCAUGAUCCUCCUGCCUCAGCCUCCAGAGCUCUGGGAUUACAGGCUUGUGUCACCGUGCCCUGCAGUCCCCCCCACCCCUUUUGACACAGGGUCUUGCUAAGUUUCUUAAGGCCUCACUAAGUCACUGAGGCUAGCCUUGAGCUUUCGAUCCUCCCAAUCCUCCCGCCUCAGCUUCCUGAUUUGCUAGGAUUACAGUUAUGUGCCACCAUGACUGGCUUAGGAUGUCAUUUUUUAAAUAAAACUAGACUGCUUCUGUUUUUUUGUUUGUUUUUCAGGAGUUUCUUAUAUACUUUGUAGAGGUAGGUGAAAACUAGGGGUUGGAGUUUGAAAAAUUCCAGAGACUAAAGUUAUAUCGACUUUUCUCAGCUUUGCUUUCCCAUAAUCCUCUAGGAAGCUAGGUUUUCUUGGCUCACAUUAUGUAGAAUCCUUUGGCCUUAGAUAUCUCUAAACACAGGCCAGGGAGAGCGAGACUCCUUAGGCUACUUAGCUAACAUUUUUAUUCCAUGAUUCAAAAAUAUUGAACAAAGAACGUUGAGGUGUUUUCUUUCUCAGGGCCAAAAGAAAAGUGGGACUUGGUCUUUGCCUGUGGCCAGCAAGGAAGGCAUUUGGUGGCAGAGUGCUGGGACUUGGAGAAGGGAAGGUACUGUCUACCCUGAGGCAGCUCUAGAGAGAGGCUGGGAGGUGCAGGCCUUGAACCUUGUCUGGUUCAUCCCUAGGGGAUGGGCCCUCUCUGCCAAUGGGAUCCUGGAGGCCACGGUGCCAUAGGGAGGGGAGGGUUUUUUUAAGUUCCGGCUUGGUCCUGUGGGUAAUGUCUCAUGUUGACUCCAUUUCAAGAACUUAAAUAUACUGAGGGUAUUUAGAAAAUCUUCUAAUUCAGGUCCUCUACUAAGAGAGAAUGAGUACCUUUUUUUUGUUUGAAGACUUGUGCACUUAAAUUCUUGGUGUUAUAGUGCUGUAAUGUACAAAGCUAGGGGUUUUUGUUUUUGAUUUUAAGUGUAUAAUUUAAAAAUCGGUUUAGGUGGUUUUCAGUGUUAAUAUGGAACAAAUAAAGUCAGUGAUUUCAGGUUUUCUUACUAGAAUUGCUCAUUUGUUCAGUACUUAAUGCUCACACAUUCCCAGGGCCUCCUGGGGCUUAUCCAAGGUGUGAUCAGCAGUGAGACACCUCUCAGGUGUUUAUGGAAAGAGGCACGAGAGCCCGACACUUUAUCAGGGUCCUGGCCCUAGUGGAGCUGAGGAGACGUUGUUGAGUGGAGGAGGAGGUCAGGGCGUUAACAUGAAGAGUGUGUUUUCCACUCUCAAAGGAAGGACAUCCAACAGGCAAAUGUGCUCAGUCACCCACGUGGGUCUUGCCUCCCUUCCAGGCUGUCCCGCUGUGACUCUUAUCACUCCAGUCUUCCUUCCUCCCUGUCCCCUGAAGAGGAGGAGAGGCCCAGGAGGCCUUGUGUGUCAGUGUCCCUGUUGGUGACCCGGGCUUUCCCUCCUGCCUUUGGGGUGUGGUCCCUGCCUGCCGGGAGCUUCUUUGUGCUUCUGUGUUCUCUUUCUUGGACAUGCUGUCAUUGCUGAUGUGACAGCUCUGGGGGCUCGAGGCCUGAGCUGCUGCUUCCCCCACCAACCUCUGUCCGCCGAGUUCUGUUCUCCCCUCCUUCCACCUCAGUGGAACCUGUGCAUCUUCAGGACACUCCCGCCUUCCGCCCCCGAGUUCUUGGUGUCAGCUGCCUCCCUCGCUCCUCUCUGCUGCCUAGUCUGGUGGACCUUAUAAGCCAGUUACUUGGUCACAUAAGGCGAACAAGUGGGACUCAUCUGGAAGUGAGGGCGACUCUGCAAGGAACUGCAGUGGGGGCUCCUGGGAGUUCCUGUGCUCCCCCCUGCCCUCUGGAGCCUCGUGAAAGUGCCGUGGUCUGCAUUUUGCUUGCUGCUCAGGUGAGCAGGCCUGCUGUGGGUGAGCAGGAGCUCGUGCACAGAAGGCCAUGGCUCCUUGCUGGACAGAGCUUUGGACUACUUGCACCUGUCAGAGAUAGAAUCGGGCCAUUUGUGCCAUUUUCUCAUGAACUCACUCCAUAGAUGUCUUCCUAAAGUUUGGUUUAGGUUGUGAUGAAUUUAAGAUGGGAAGUCACAGAACCUUUCCUCCCAUUUUUAGUCCAGUCCCACAGAGGAAUGGCAUCUGUCACCUGGGCACCAUCAUUACCCUGCUUUUCCUCCUUUAUGGGUGGGGACAGCAGAGGAGAUCCUGGGCCGCCUAUGGCUAGACUGCUCCCUGCAUCCUGUGGCAUCUGUGCCAUGUACCUGGGCUGGGACACCUGGGUUAGCUGUGCUUCCAGCAGUGUCUCUAGCUCAGUGAUCUUUGUAGAUUGCUGCGGAGUAAACUAAAUCGGCUGCUUCAGUGCAUUUUCCAAAUGUCGUCCCAAAUUAUAUAGCAAGUCUUACAUUUUAUUUUGAGAUACUCGUAGAUCACAGUAUAUUAAUAGUAUAUUGUCACAAAAAAUGACAUGGAAGAAUCCUGCCCAGUCUUCACCCAUGUCCCCUGUGGUGACAUCUUGGGAAUAUAGGAAUACAGCAUUGUGGUCAGGGUGCUGGCGUCCUGCAGCCACACCUACAUCUCUUCUGAACCCUGGCAACUGAAAGUCUGUUCGCGGUCUCUUUAAUUUUGUCUUUCCAGGAGUGUUAGUGAAUAGGACCGCAGCAUGGAACUGUUGGAACUGUCUUGCCCAGCGUAGUUUCCUGGGGAUCGUCCAGGUCAUUGCGUGGACAGUGGCUCAGCCCUUUCCAUGGCCAGCAGUGGGCUGUGGCUGUAGGCUGCCCAGUAUUCACUCGGUGGAGGACCCUGGGUGAUUGUAGUUGGGUUGUUGGGAGUCCAGCUGCAUGGAGGGUCUGUGCACGUGGCCUUUGUUCCUCUGGGACAGAUGCCCAGGAGGGUGGUGCUGGCCCCGGCUGUGUGGCAGCUGCCUGUUUGGUGCUAAGAAAGUACCCAGCUGUUUCCUGGUGACACCAUUUUUCAUUCUUGC
RNAcentral lists this long non-coding RNA (3875 nucleotides) under Marmota monax (woodchuck). Lineage: Eukaryota; Metazoa; Chordata; Mammalia; Rodentia; Sciuridae. The record is from RNAcentral.